UGGGUAGUAUCUUAUGGAGCUAUACCAGACUUUUUUCAUUAGAAUAUACUUACAACUCAUAUCUAUGCGAAUGAGAUUGAAAU
This 83-nucleotide non-coding RNA is filed under the name unclassified sequences. Its description in RNAcentral is "pan motif". It matches the Rfam family "pan motif". The record is from RNAcentral.